RNAcentral lists this ribosomal RNA (2859 nucleotides) under Thiothrix subterranea. RNAcentral describes it as "Thiothrix sp. Ku-5 23S ribosomal RNA". It matches the Rfam family "Bacterial large subunit ribosomal RNA". The record is from RNAcentral. Lineage: Bacteria; Pseudomonadati; Pseudomonadota; Gammaproteobacteria; Thiotrichales; Thiotrichaceae.
GUUAUAGGAUCAAGUGACUAAGCGUACACGGUGGAUGCCUUGGCAGUCAGAGGCGAUGAAGGACGUUAUAGCAUGCGAUAAGCUACGGUUAGCCUGCAAAUUGGCAUUGACCCGUAGAUUUCCGAAUGGGGAAACCCACCACUUUUGUGGUAUUCCGAAAGGAAAGCGAACGCAGGGAACUGAAACAUCUAAGUACCUGUAGGAAAAGAAAUCAACCGAGAUUCCCCCAGUAGCGGCGAGCGAACGGGGAACAGCCGAAUCUCUUUAAUGUAGUGGAAUGGUAUGGAAAGGCCAGCGAUACCGGGUGAUAGCCCCGUACACGAAACGUUAUAGAGGACAUAUUAAGUAGGGCGGGACACGUGAAAUCCUGUCUGAAGAUGGGGGGACCAUCCUCCAAGGCUAAAUACUCCUGACUGACCGAUAGUGAACCAGUACCGUGAGGGAAAGGCGAAAAGAACCCUGGUGAAGGGAGUGAAAUAGAACCUGAAACCGUGUACGUACAAGCAGUGGGAGCCCUCCGGGGUGACUGCGUACCUUUUGUAUAAUGGGUCAGCGACUUACUUUCAGUGGCAAGCUUAACCGAUAGGGGAGGCGUAGCGAAAGCGAGUCUGAACAGGGCGUUCAGUCGCUGGGAGUAGACCCGAAACCGAGCGAUCUAUCCAUGGCCAGGUUGAAGGUGCCGUAACAGGUACUGGAGGACCGAACCCACUCCCGUUGAAAAGGUAGGGGAUGAGCUGUGGAUAGGAGUGAAAGGCUAAUCAAGCUCGGAGAUAGCUGGUUCUCCUCGAAAGCUAUUUAGGUAGCGCCUCGUGUAUCACUCCUAGGGGUAGAGCACUGUUAUGGCUAGGGGGCCCUGACCGGCUUACCAACCCAUUGCAAACUCCGAAUACUAGGAAGUGCGAGCACGGGAGACAGACAGCGGGUGCUAACGUCCGUUGUCAAAAGGGAAACAACCCAGACCGCCAGCUAAGGUCCCCAAGUUGUGGCUCAGUGGGAAACGAUGUGGGAAGGCACAGACAGCCAGGAGGUUGGCUUAGAAGCAGCCAUCCUUUAAAGAAAGCGUAAUAGCUCACUGGUCGAGUCGGCCUGCGCGGAAGAUUCAACGGGGCUUAAGCCACACACCGAAGCUGCGGACUUGAAGCAAUUCAAGUGGUAGAGGAGCGUUCUGUACGCCUGUGAAGGUGAACUGGAAAGUUUGCUGGAGGUAUCAGAAGUGCGAAUGCUGACAUAAGUAACGACAAGACGGGUGAAAAACCCGUCCGCCGAAAGCCCAAGGUUUCCUGCGCAACGUUAAUCGGCGCAGGGUUAGUCGGCCCCUAAGGCGAGGCAGAAAUGCGUAGUCGAUGGGAAACAGGUCAAUAUUCCUGUACCGGCACUAACUGCGAUGGGAGGACGGAGAAGGCUAGGACAGCAACCUAUUGGAUGGUUGUUUAAGCGUUUAGGUGGGAUUCUUAGGCAAAUCCGGGAAUCUGUUAACACUGAGGCGUGAUGACGAGGUACUACGGUACUGAAGUGUUUGAUGCCAUGCUUCCAAGAAAAGUCCCUAAGCUUCAGGUUAGUGCUGACCGUACCCCAAACCGACACAGGUGGGCUGGAUGAGAAUUCCAAGGCGCUUGAGAGAACUCGGAUGAAGGAACUAGGCAAAAUGGUACCGUAACUUCGGGAGAAGGUACGCCCGCGCAAGCGGGCCGCAGAGACCAGGCCGCUGCGACUGUUUAUCAAAAACACAGCACUCUGCAAACUCGAAAGAGGACGUAUAGGGUGUGACGCCUGCCCGGUGCCGGAAGGUUAAUUGAUGGGGUUAGCGCAAGCGAAGCUCUUGAUCGAAGCCCCGGUAAACGGCGGCCGUAACUAUAACGGUCCUAAGGUAGCGAAAUUCCUUGUCGGGUAAGUUCCGACCUGCACGAAUGGCGUAACGAUGGCGGCACUGUCUCCAUCCGAGACUCAGUGAAAUUGAAAUCGCUGUGAAGAUGCAGUGUACCCGCGGCUAGACGGAAAGACCCCGUGAACCUUUACUAUAGCUUUGUAUUGAACUUUGAACCUACUUGUGUAGGAUAGGUGGGAGACUAUGAAACUGGAACGCCAGUUCUGGUGGAGUCGUCCUUGAAAUACCACCCUGGUAUGUUCGGAGUUCUAACCCAGGCAUCACAAUGCCGGGGACAAUACAUGGUGGGUAGUUUGACUGGGGCGGUCUCCUCCUAAAGAGUAACGGAGGAGCGCGAAGGUGUGCUAAUCACGGUCGGAAAUCGUGAGGUUUGUGUAAAGGCAUAAGCACGCUUGACUGCGAGACAGACAAGUCGAGCAGGUACGAAAGUAGGUCUUAGUGAUCCGGUGGCUCUGCAUGGAAGGGCCAUCGCUCAACGGAUAAAAGGUACUCCGGGGAUAACAGGCUGAUUCCUCCCAAGAGUCCAUAUCGACGGGGGAGUUUGGCACCUCGAUGUCGGCUCAUCACAUCCUGGGGCUGAAGCAGGUCCCAAGGGUAUGGCUGUUCGCCAUUUAAAGUGGUACGCGAGCUGGGUUCAGAACGUCGUGAGACAGUUCGGUCCCUAUCUGCCGUGGGCGUUGGAGAUUUGAGGGAAGCUGACCUUAGUACGAGAGGACCGGGUUGGACGAACCUCUGGUGUUCCUGUUGUCACGCCAGUGGCAUUGCAGGGUAGCUAUGUUCGGACGGGAUAACCGCUGAAAGCAUCUAAGCGGGAAGCCCCUCCCAAGAUGAGAUCUCCCUGACCCCUUGAGGGUCCUAAAGGGCCGUUGGAGACUACGACGUUGAUAGGCUGGGUGUGGAAGUGCAGUAAUGUAUGCAGCUAACCAGUACUAAUUGCCCGUGAGGCUUGAUCCUAUAACCCAAAACGGUCUACU